AGAGACCAAACAGAGCACGGAAAAAGGAACUAAGGGAAACAAAACAGAACAUCAAAAUAAGAGUCCAUAACUGUGACAUUGCACCAUAAAUGAUAAUCCAACAGUGGAAGGAGGGAGAGAGGGGCUGACAGGCCGAGGUGGAGUCAUGGGCCUGGAGGACUGUGUAAAGUCAGAAAUGACUUAGGUGUAAUUUAAGUGAAUUUGGAGAUUUAUCUCGGAUGACUGGAGAGACGUUUUGAGUGGCGAAUCUGUUGCGUCAGAGAAAAAGUUAUGGAAAUCGACGAACAGCAUCGGAAGCAGCCGGCGAAACGCGGAAGAGAAGAGAGCUCGUGAGGCAAGCGCGCUGAAAACGGAGCGCAUGGAAAGAUAUUAAAAACCAGUCAUCCUAAAAGAAUCACGACACAUUGAGUGUCCUGUCGCACAAGUGUCUUCUAGAAGAAAAGCUUGCCGCAUCUAAAGAGAGUUGUGAGCGAAUGAAGACGGAAAGCGCGGAAAGCACGUCAGUGAUGAGUCAACCCGAGACGCUGAUGGUUAUCAACCUAAUUUGAGCCUAAACUGCCAAGAUAUCUAUCUUCAAUUAAACUAACUACAGUCAAACCAAACUAAAUCCAUCUGUUGGAUAACUGUUGUUGGAUGUGAAUGGAUGUAAAAAAAUCAACACACUGCAAUACAAGUCGGACUGUAAGAAGUUUAUUGAAGACUGGAAGUAAAGCCAUUUUUUGAGUUGAUCCUUGUGUCCGUGGUUGAAUAAGCCCUUUUUCGAGUUAGAGGCAGACUGAUGUGUGAAAUCCAGAAGUAACUCGACAGACUGAGGUGAGGCUGAGGAAUCCGCAUCAUAGUGCCGAGCUGGUGAUCGGGAAGCCUGAGGCAAAGCCAAAGAGCUGCAUGAAGAUAGCGGUGGGUGCAGACCCGAGGAGCUGGACGACACCAGUAGAGCCGGCGGAUCAAGGGGACUGGACAGUCAAGGAAAUGGGACCAGGAAGUUGGAUGGGGGCAUCAGAGGAGGAAGGUCUUCAGACAGUACUGGAGCAUCCAGUCAGCAGGACGGGACCGGCGGGGAAGGCAUCAAAUCGAGGGUGGGAACUGGAUCCGUGGAUCACAAGUCGAUAAAGCAGUGAUCCGCUCCUGGCUCUGGGAUGGACUGGGCAGUGCACCUUGACUUUGGGACAACACAGGUGGCAGUGUCUAGCGCAUGGUCUGUGGUAGGCGCAGGCUUGGGCUCCUUCUUUCCCCCGCAGAUGGUAUAUAUAUAUAUAUAUAUAUAUAUAUAUAUAUAUAUAUAUAUAUAUAUAUAUAUAUAUAUAUUUAACACAAUAUUAAAUAUUUAUGUUUUUAUCAAAGUGUAUUAUGUCAUAAAACAUGAGCAAUUCAAAAAUUCCACAGAAUAAAAGCUAGACAUACAGGUUUGUAAAGUGAUGAGGAUAAGUAAAUAAUUACAGAUUUUUUAUUAGAGUAAAGUUUCCUUUUCUCCAUUUAUUUUAUAUUGUACAUUAUGAUUUGUUUUAUAUGUGCAACAAAAUUGCUAUCCAAAGUGGAAAUGGCAAUGUGAGUUUAUUUGGUAGCUUCUCUAGUAACAGAAAACUUGCAAACUGUCUCAGACAGUAAGAUGUGACUAUGCGAAAAUUAGCAUCAUUUGUGUGUAUAGGGCAACAGCUGUGUUUCCUUUAAAAUUGGUUGUUUAGAUCUGCUUUGAUUAAAGUCCUUGAAAUAGAACAUACAGCCAUGCGUUAGACAUAAUUGAACCCUAAUUUGUCACUCACUUCAUUGUUACAAGGACUCCACCAUCCAAUUAACUCAACAGCCACUCUAAUCAAGUAAUUAAGUAAUUCUGAUGCAAAUCUGAGCCUGUAAUUGGUUUAGGAGGAGGGCUGAUAAAUUACCAGAUCAAACUUUAAGCAACUCUUAUCUUGCAAGCUUACAUCUUAAACUGAUGGACAGACAAACGAAAGACCAGGAACGUAACUACUGUCCAAGAGACAACAGAAUGACUCUGUUAAUCUCAUAAGCCAAUAAGUUACAUGACUUAAGAUGAUCAUUUAGAUGAGAAAACAUGAAAUGCAGGAUUAGUUCCUGUUUCAGUUAAUUAACACAACUCUAUUGAGUGUGCAUGCUAUGAAAAACAUGAUCAUCUUGACUUACAGACAAGCAUCAACCUUGGUGCACAAAUACUUGUCCGUGAAAGAUGACAAAUAAAAGAAAUGAUCUUGCUCUAUCAGUGCAAGUGAAACUUGUGAAGUUAGUUUAUAUAGUUGAUAAAAUAUAGCGAUAGAGACUCAAACAUGUAUGGUCACAUGUAGUCUUUUUAAAGUUUAUUUACAGCUUAUUUAAAUUACACAUGAUCUGUAUAUAUUAAUAUUAAUUCAGACUAGAUACUUAAAAAUAACUGUUAAACUAACAUCACUUGUGUAAUGGAUUAAUAAUAAUAUAGAUCAUAUAAUAAUUUUAUAAAUCAUAAAAUAAUUGUAAUUAUCAUUAAAGCCAGACAAUUUCAUUGUUGAAUAUUUUUUACUAUAUAGUGACCUUUAAUUUGGAGGAAGAGAAACUGGGGGAGUGACUUUAUUACAUUGGAUGUGUCAGUGUCACUUUGCUCACAUCUGAUUGGCCCAAUUUCGGUUUGAGAUCUCUUACCCAGAACAUAAUUUGCCCUGGAGCAGGUUAGCUGUGGACUGUAAGUUACUAUGGUGAUGAACACAGCUAAAAGCCAAGUCACUUCCUAAAACCUAGGAUUGGAGUAAACUAAUCUGAAAUGUACCUGGCUAGCCAGCUGUAAGACUGAUGCCAGAGUGCCUGGACCAAGAAAGGGCUACUCUUUGAGAAAACAAAGGAAAUUAACAUUUGAACUCUCUCUUGCAAAAUUAGCAUCCCCACCCGAGAUGCAAUCACACUGAGUCAAUCACACCUCAGCAUUGCCUUAAUCUACAUUUCCCUUCCUUCACCCCCUCUUCCCCCAUCUCUUCUCUCUACAUGCAGAUAUGAGGACAGUUGACCCAAAAUCUAUAUGGUUUAAUGUGAACAAUCAUCAAAGAAUGCUAUACAUGUUUGGUAUAGUUUGAAAUGUCUCAGUGCAACUGGUACAAUGGUCUCGUCUACAUGGAAGUAAACCAAAGGUAUUAAAGGUUUUAAGAGUUUAGAGAUACUUUGGUUGCAACCAUGGGUGUGCCCCUUUCCCAGGGUCUUUCAUCCAAAUUACCUCCUGUUCCACAGCAAGGUGCGAACCCCAUAGGUCUGUGACCCUAGUCAAUGCAAAUUCUGAUUGUAAGUUCAUGCCCCACAUUGGGGGAUGUUUUGUCUUGGUCUGAAUAUUUAAAGAAAUGUUGCAAAAGGCUCGGGGCGACUCUGUAUUCAGAUGAAGCCCACAUUGCUGAGUGUCAAGUACAUUCAGCGAUGUGUAUUUUUCAGGUAUGCAUCUUACUCUGUUUCUGAGCAUUUGAUGUUUUGUAUUGCUCAUCUUUGAAUUGAUUAUGUAAUUGGCAUGAUACAUUUAUCUGACUAAUAAAUUGUCACAUUCGAUUUUA
This is a long non-coding RNA of Megalobrama amblycephala (Wuchang bream), 3515 nucleotides long. RefSeq lists it as uncharacterized. The record is from RefSeq and is a predicted model, not a curated record. NCBI's taxonomy places the organism in Eukaryota, Metazoa, Chordata, Actinopteri, Cypriniformes, Xenocyprididae. The transcript is spliced from 2 exons.